GACACUUUGGCCGAGUGGUUAAGGCGCAGGCCUGCUACUACGUCACCGUACUAGCUGAUUAGCCUGUGGGUUCGCCCGCCUGGGUUCGAGUCCCAGAGGUGUCG
This 104-nucleotide transfer RNA is filed under the name Aspergillus sclerotioniger CBS 115572. It matches the Rfam family "tRNA". From Rfam's summary of the family: Transfer RNA (tRNA) molecules are approximately 80 nucleotides in length. Their secondary structure includes four short double-helical elements and three loops (D, anti-codon, and T loops). Further hydrogen bonds mediate the characteristic L-shaped molecular structure. tRNAs have two regions of fundamental functional importance: the anti-codon, which is responsible for specific mRNA codon recognition, and the 3' end, to which the tRNAs corresponding amino acid is attached (by aminoacyl-tRNA synthetases). tRNAs cope with the degeneracy of the genetic code in two manners: having more than one tRNA (with a specific anti-codon) for a particular amino acid; and 'wobble' base-pairing, i.e. permitting non-standard base-pairing at the 3rd anti-codon position. The record is from Rfam by way of RNAcentral. Lineage: Eukaryota; Fungi; Ascomycota; Eurotiomycetes; Eurotiales; Aspergillaceae.